Molecule: transfer RNA, 69 nt
Filed under: Lithodytes lineatus (gold-striped frog)
Lineage: Eukaryota; Metazoa; Chordata; Amphibia; Anura; Leptodactylidae
Description: tRNA-Val
Rfam family: tRNA
About the family: Transfer RNA (tRNA) molecules are approximately 80 nucleotides in length. Their secondary structure includes four short double-helical elements and three loops (D, anti-codon, and T loops). Further hydrogen bonds mediate the characteristic L-shaped molecular structure. tRNAs have two regions of fundamental functional importance: the anti-codon, which is responsible for specific mRNA codon recognition, and the 3' end, to which the tRNAs corresponding amino acid is attached (by aminoacyl-tRNA synthetases). tRNAs cope with the degeneracy of the genetic code in two manners: having more than one tRNA (with a specific anti-codon) for a particular amino acid; and 'wobble' base-pairing, i.e. permitting non-standard base-pairing at the 3rd anti-codon position.
Source: RNAcentral
CGUCAUAUAGCUUAAUUAAAGCAUCUAGCUUACACCUAGAAAAUAUUUGUGAAACUCAAAUUGUAACGA